GAUGGACCAAAUCUUGGUGUCUCAUUUGAGAGGUGGAGAACUAAAAGGGAACAGAACAUUUUUGCCCUAGAGAAUCUUUGCAUACUCCUUCCCAAUUUAAACCAACGCCACCUCUCACUCUACAUAUCUUGCAAGUUGUCUCACCGCACUCUUUGGAACCCCAAUUGAGAGCCUGUUGAAGCUUGUGAGCAGAACAGAAAGGAUCUCUGGUACUGGGCUUUGUGUGGCAAUCUGCAUGUUGUAUGGAGGACAGGUAGCCAAGUAUUUUUAACAAACCAUGAUGGCUUAUGACAGAAGGGUACUGCCUUAUUUGAGAAAUGGGAGAAGGGAAUGCCAGGAGUCUCCUGCAGCUGAAUGGCUAGAAACCUAAGAAAUAGAUGGUGAUGUUUGGUGUCAUCUUCCUUAAAAACUGAUUUCAUGGCUGUCACUCAAGACACACACAUACCCAGGAGCAGGAUCGUGACCAUGAGACUGAGCUCCGCAUCUGCAGCUUGGAACAAACGGGAAAAGUUGGAAUGGAUGUCGCCCCUGUUCAAGCAGGACAAACCCAGCUGUAGAGAAACUUGUUUCUGUUUCCCUCCAACCCCAUCGGAGGGGGAUUCUGAAUACACUCACAGGCUCUGUCCAGCCUUUUUCAUUGGAACCAACUGGACAUUCAGGAUCCAGCUUCUGCUGCUCUUUGUAACCGAGUAUUCAAACAAAUUCAAGACUGGUGAGACAGCAAUGAGGCCACACAGCUGCCAUAACAAGAAGCUAACAAGGGGUCCUGAGCUCCUCCAGUUAUUAAGGGUAGCAAGUGAAGCAAAGAACCUCACAUCUACCUUCAUCCAGGUGGGACUUCCAUUUUCAGCUUGAACAAAAGAUGUGAUCCAUGAUGAGCAUUUUCUUACUACUUCUGAGCACUUAUUUUCUUUCUUUCUCUUUCUUUUUGCUGAUAACUGUAAUGUUGACCCUACUCAGUGCAAGACUGUUCGCAGCCAUGAAACAAAAGCAUUAGUACAAAAGCAGUAUGAAAUGGUAUGCACAAAGUUCAAUUCAACAUAGUUUUAUUUUAACAAGGAGGCAAAACAAGAAUUUGCUAAGAAUUUGCUGUGCUAAGCAGGAACUGCACCCGUCCAAAAUAUGAACUCACAGAGGGGAAAGUGGGGGAGCAAAAGGAAGCAUGGCAAAGCCAGAUUAUUCCUGGGGGAUUAACACAGCAAUCAGAAUCUCUCUUGUGGGCUUGGAAGUAAGAAGGUUGCCUACCAAGCAUCUUUUAAGCACUGCAGAUUUAAAGCUGAAAAGAACGAAAAGCCAAUUGUCAGGCAAGUGACCAUGGCCACCACACAAGUAGCUCAAAAUGGCUUUAUAAAAAGAUGCAUACAAGAAGAAUUCUCAUUUUAUUCAUGCUACAGCCUUUUUUAAUCUUGUAUAUUCAGAAGUUUCUUACAAAACUGUAAUCCUGAAAACAUGUUCAAUUUGACACUGGGAAGGAAAAAAAGUAUGACAGGAGUCUGGAUGAACAAAUGAAGAUGCUAACAUCAUUCAAGAAGAAAUCUGUAAUUUGAUGCAAGAAGGAAAAUGAAUUUCCUCACUGUGCCAUGCUAUCUUUAAAAUUUCAGCAGAAAAA
Molecule: long non-coding RNA, 1609 nt
Organism: Crotalus tigris (Tiger rattlesnake)
Lineage: Eukaryota; Metazoa; Chordata; Lepidosauria; Squamata; Viperidae
Exons: 2
Source: RefSeq, a predicted model, not a curated record